This 76-nucleotide transfer RNA is filed under the name Gammaproteobacteria bacterium. RNAcentral's name for it is "tRNA-Arg". It matches the Rfam family "tRNA". From Rfam's summary of the family: Transfer RNA (tRNA) molecules are approximately 80 nucleotides in length. Lineage: Bacteria; Pseudomonadati; Pseudomonadota; Gammaproteobacteria. RNAcentral also lists the same sequence under 1 other name. The record is from RNAcentral.
GUCCUCAUAGCUUAAAUGGACAGAGCACCUGCCUCCUAAGCGGGCGAUCCAGGUUCAAUUCCUGGUGGGGACGCCA